CGGCACAGAGGGAAGCCAGGUGGCGACACCGCGCGGAACCCGAAAGCCGUUCUCAGUUCGGAUCGGAGUCUGCAACCCGACUCCGUGAAGCUGGAUUCGCUAGUAAUCGCGCAUCAGCCAUGGCGCGGUGAAUACGUUCCCGGGCCUUGUACACACCGCCCGUCAAGCCAUGGGAGCCGGGGGUGCUUGAAGUGCGUCGCCGCGAGGCGCGCCCUAGAGCGAGACCGGUGACUGGGGCUAAGUCGUAACAAGGUACC
RNAcentral lists this ribosomal RNA (257 nucleotides) under uncultured bacterium. RNAcentral's name for it is "partial 16S ribosomal RNA". It matches the Rfam family "Bacterial small subunit ribosomal RNA", at positions 1235 to 1500 of the family's 1533-position model. The record is from RNAcentral.